This 321-nucleotide unclassified non-coding RNA is filed under the name uncultured Spizellomyces. Its description in RNAcentral is "sequence contains ITS2". The record is from RNAcentral. Lineage: Eukaryota; Fungi; Chytridiomycota.
AACGCACAUUGCGCUUCCUGGUAUUCCGGGAAGCAUGCCCGUUUCAGAAUCAAUAAAAAUCUCACCCAACUCGGUGCUUUCGAGCGUUGAGCGCAGGUGGAUCUGGAUUUUUGCGUCAGCAAUCAUCUUAAAUUCAUUGUGUGUGCACCAAUUGAUGUUUCUUUUGGUUGUCCGAGUGCAACAGAAUUAUCUAUUUCACUUUGGCAGCCGAUUGAUGCUCUUGAUGCGUAUGCUUCACCAAUAAUACGGUCUUCAAAUCGGUAUGAUUUGGGUUUCCGAUAACUUGAUCUGAAAUCGGGCAAGAAAACCCGCUGAACUUAA